CCCACAGUUAUAACCUGGGACACUGCAUUGCAUGGAUUUAUUGGACAGAAGAACCUCCAGAGGCUGUGAGCUUACAGAUAACUCACUGGCAAAAUGCUUCUGUUGUUUCUGUCUCUGGUUUUGGGAACUCCACAAGGACAAGGGGUUACAGUAACGUGUGACAAUAUAUCGGUUUCAAAAGACCAGCAACUGACACUGUGCUGUACAGUGGAUUACACUGCCAUACAAACUAUCAAACAUGGGACGAAGGGGACCACAAAUGACACAACAUGUGUUACUGAGUGGUUUGCAUGGAAGUAUUCAGAUAAUGUACUACUGAAUUGUAUUAAAGACUGUCACAUGAAAGAAACGGAAGCACCACACUGCUAUUAUAAGAAAGAAAAUGUUACAAAAGCUGAUGAGGGUAAUUACACUUUUUCCAUUGGCACAAACUGUGGGUUUGGUUCAGGGACAACAAGCUUUUUCACUGUUGCAGUUCCUGCGAAAAGUGUUGACAACUGGAGAGAGCAACAAGCUCCUGUAUGGUUAACUCUGGUUGUUAUCAUCAGCGUCAUCGCUGUUCUGGGCGUUCUAUUGUUUCUAAAAACUUAUCGUUCUGGCAGAAGAUUGAUGAAACGACUCAAGAGUUCUAUGACCCAGAGCAACAACAACACUGAUGAGAGCCCUGAAGGUUCAAGAGAGGCCGUUACCCUGGUGCCUGCAUAACAUUCAGCGUGAGCCAGUUGUCUUGUUGGUUAUUUCGAAAUGAACUCCACGUUGACCUCUGCUAUGUUGCUGUAUGUCAGAUGCAUUCUAUACCAAUAAAACACUACUCACUUUUGCACCUAAAUUAGUUUUGCACCAACAUUUGUGGAAUCAGUUAGUGAAAUCACUAAUAAUCGUCUUUCACAGAAAAAAAGGGUGCUAAAAAGGGUGCUAUCUAGAACCAUCCCCAUAGGAGAACCCUUUGAAUAACUCUGGUUCCAGGUAGAACCCUUUUCAUAACCCUUAAGCUUGUUUACAAAGGGAGUUGGUUUUGGUCUAUAUAUACAUUGAUGUUGUAAUAUUCUGUAAUAUUCUCACAAGCAUUGUUUUCAUAACUACUAAGCUAAACUUGUUUUUAGUUUUAGCCUAAACUCUGACGUAAUUUUCUGGGACUCAUGUUUUUUUAAAUUAAUAUAAAAUGUUAUUGAUUUGUGUACAAAUAAACGUUUGGAAAUAACCAGUCUUCAUAAUGUUAUUUCUCUCAUAUAGAGCUUGUUGUCUUGUGCCGAAUUAUUAUCUCCAACAAUAAUGUACAUUUCAGUUAUCACAGCACAUAGAGUACCCGUCAGCAGAAAAUAACCACAACACUUCCUGUGAACAAGUCAACAGAGGAAACUCUUUCUCUAUCCAUUUAUUCAGUUGUUCACCAUUUUACCCUGCCAAAAGACAGUUCACCAGUCAGUUGUGAGUGUUUUGCGCGUGCGGAAGAGUGUGUGGAGCUCUCUGAUAAAUGCAGCUGGUACCUAGUCGGCAGGAUGGAUGUUCUGUUGUGGAGAUGUGUGCUGGGACUCCUCUGCAGCCCUGCAGUGCUCACCUGGACAGGUAAGUGAGUUUUUAGUUGACCCUAAAUGGACAAUUAACCGUCAGACAAAAAAAAGGAGGACCAAGGUGGCAUUCUUGUCUUCAUAAUAACAAUAUGUCUAAAUCCUGGGCCCCUGUCUAUCUAUCUCUCUCCCUGCAAGUUUCCCAGAGCCCCAGUGCCGUAGCUCUGAUGAAGGUCAACUCCUCGGCCGAGAUCCUCUGCUCCACAUCGCUACCGGACCCCACAGGCCUCUACCUCAGGGGUCGAUUCCACAACAACAGAGAUGUGCUGUACUUGUCGAUAGCUGACAGAGCAGUCGGUAGGACCACAAUCCACAAUGGGUUCAGAGGUCGGGUCACAGUGGUGUCAGACCAGGACCAGGAGGUCAAGCGGUGCUGUGAGUUCACACUGAGGCUGUCCCAGCUUGGGGUGGAGGACACAGACAGUUACUACUGCAGCUGGAGGUACUACGAUACCAAAGGGAAAGUGCUGGUACAGCGGCACAGUAAUGGCACCAUCAUCAUUGUCAGAGGUACAAAUAUUAUUAUUUUUAUUCAAGAAGAAGAAGAAAUGUUAUUCAUCAGGGUUAGGGUGAAUUCCAUUUUUCAUUCAGAUUGUCUUUCUCUUCCUGGAUUAACGAAGACUUGGUAUCCAAUCAUUAUUCUAGAACUGUCUGUUCCACACUUUUUUAUGAUGCAGUGUGAAAAUAUCAAUCUCUACUAUUUCAACGACAUACCACAACUGAUGUAAGUGGUUUUAAUGUGCUAGUACUAGCUAUGAUCAUGAUUAGUGCACAAUAUGUCAGGUAUUGUGUUCCAAUAUGUGCAAUAUGGACUCACCAUAUUCCUUUGAAUUUCUUUUGAAUGAGUUUUCCCUGAGCAGUUGACCAGGCCAGGAAAAACUCUGGGUCAGAGUCAAAGGGCUAUAAUGAGGGCCCAGAGUUUUUCAAGAAGACAUGAAGCUGAACCACUUCUUCUAAUUCCCUCUCCCCUCCAUACAGAGAGAGAUCCAGAGAAGGGCUGUGGCGGCGGUCAGACCAACAUUGAACUCAUCUUGAUUGUGCUGAGUUGGACGGCCUUCAUCGUCAUCUUCUUCCUCUUCAUUGGAGCUCUGAUGUGGCGAUGCACACGGGUAAGUCAAUGUUUCCCUUAUAUUUGCCACUGCAAAAACAUUCAAGUAGUAAUUAUAAUAAUUUUUGGGAUGGUAAAAACGUUUUCAGUGUAACAUUAAACAUAUUGGAGCAAUAUAUUUUUCAAUAAAUAAGAUUAUCUUUGAGAACUAACAAUCACCAUUCUCAGGGAGAAUCUGAAAUUCCAAAAAUGUCAUGGGCUGGGUCCCCCAAAUGAUUUCUUUGUCAUGUUUGAGUCAUUCCAGAUAGCAUAAGAACGGCAAGGCAUAGGUCAAGGCUAAAUGUAUAUAAUUGCAGGAAAUUAUCUUUAAAACUGAAAAUUCUCUCAGUCCCAUGACAAAAUGUGUAGAAUUGCAGGAAAUUAGCUUUAAAACAGCAACAUUUUGUCUCUGCGGCCAAGAGGAGGGCCUAUAAAACCGUGCCUUUGCCCAUGCCCACUAACCCCACCAUUUUGGAUGAAGUCUAAGAUGAGUGUGAAUAUGAAUUUAAACAUCUCUAUGUUUUCCUACAGACCAAAAAGCACUACACACCAGCCAGGGACAAUAGAAGACACCACCAGCAUGUGUGUCCACAGCACAGGCCUACUGCUGACCCAUAGUUCAUCUACUCGAGCAGCUCUCCAGGCCAUGUCAACUUUAAAGGGAUACUGUAACAUUGAAGGGAAGGGAAGAAGUGAUUCUGCAAUUGCGGUAAUGAUUUACCUUUAGAGUGUCUACGCAGUUAGGCCUACUGUCUGUUCUCACUAAUGGAAUGUUCUUUACUUACUGUUUUUGGCUAGAUUUCAGAUAUAUUUUCAGACGUCUGUCUGAGCAAUCCAUUAUUUGCGUUUAUUUGCCAAGUUGGUAGUUGUGCAUUUCUGUUCAUUGCAUCUGACAGAAACAUCAGUGCAAUUAAAUAGUGUGCAAUUAUGUGCAUUUUGUAGGCUACUGUUCUCAUGAGCUCUUUCUCACCAAAUGUCUGUUUUUCUCUUCUUUUGUGUCUCCACUUCCGAUUGUUAUGGGAAUUGUCUAUGUUAACAGAAAGACUCUUUCUAUGUGACUCAGUGAUACUAACAUCAACGUACCAUACCACAUCCUGCAGUUUGAUGUCUGACAUGCUUUCAGAUCAUAUAUCGGCUGCCUAAUGUGUGAACGGGUCAAUUGUUUUGUUUUUUGCACAUCCUGUAGAUUUAAGUGUUUCGACAAUGUUGUGCUAAUCUGUUAGAUUAUCCUGCUCUUCAUCUGACAUGUCCUAAUGUGACCAAGCUGAAUAUACAUUCCACGCAAGUGAGAGAUAUAAAAUAGGCAUGUGUCAGUCAAGUCAACACAUACCCAUUUAAAGAGAUAUUGCUGCAUUACUUUGUAUUUAUGGAUUCCCUGGUCUCACUGACAGACAGCGGCGAGCUCCAGCUGUUUAGUUGAUUUAUGUAUAUAUUUUUGGGGGGUUACGUGUUAUUUUGGCAUUAAUAUGUGUCACAAAUCAGUUUGCAAACAAUGUGAAAAAAAUAAAGCUGCAUACAGACAUGGUC
Oncorhynchus tshawytscha (Chinook salmon) is the source of this 4182-nucleotide long non-coding RNA. Lineage: Eukaryota; Metazoa; Chordata; Actinopteri; Salmoniformes; Salmonidae. The record is from Ensembl.